CAGCCGCCACGGUAAUACGAAGGGGGCUAGCGUUGCUCGGAAUGACUGGGCGUAAAGGGCGCGUAGGCGGCGAUCAAAGUCAGGCGUGAAAUUCCUGGGCUCAACCUGGGGGCUGCGCUUGAUACUUGGUUGCUUGAGUGGGGAAGAGGGUCGUGGAAUUCCCAGUGUAGAGGUGAAAUUCGUAGAUAUUGGGAAGAACACCGGUGGCGAAGGCGGCGACCUGGUCCUUGACUGACGCUGAGGCGCGAAAGCGUGGGGAGCAAACAGGAUUAGAUACCCCUGUAGUCCCUGUCUCUUAUAC
RNAcentral lists this ribosomal RNA (301 nucleotides) under uncultured bacterium. RNAcentral's name for it is "partial 16S ribosomal RNA". It matches the Rfam family "Bacterial small subunit ribosomal RNA", at positions 509 to 807 of the family's 1533-position model. The record is from RNAcentral.